GAUGAACGCUAGCGGCAGGCCUAACACAUGCAAGUCGAGGGAGAAGCCCUUUCGGGGGCAGAAACCGGCGCACGGGUGCGUAACGCGUAUGCAACCUACCUUUCACAGGGGGAUAGCCCGAAGAAAUUUGGAUUAAUACCCCAUAAUAUUAUUGGAUGGCAUCAUUUGAUAAUUAAAACUGCGGUGGUGAAAGAUGGGCAUGCGUCCUAUUAGCUAGUUGGAGUGGUAACGGCACCCCAAGGCUACGAUAGGUAGGGGUCCUGAGAGGGAGAUCCCCCACACUGGGACUGAGACAGGGACCAGACUCCUACGGGAGGCAGCAGUGAGGAAUAUUGGUCAAUGGUCGGAAGACUGAACCAGCCAUGCCGCGUGCAGGAAGAAUGCCUUAUGGGUUGUAAACUGCUUUUAUAUGGGAAGAAUAAGGCGUACGUGUACGUUGAUGACGGUACCAUAUGAAUAAGCAUCGGCUAACUCCGUG
Molecule: ribosomal RNA, 478 nt
Filed under: uncultured bacterium
Lineage: Bacteria
Description: partial 16S ribosomal RNA
Rfam family: Bacterial small subunit ribosomal RNA
Source: RNAcentral